UACGUAGGGGGCAAGCGUUGUCCGGAAUCAUUGGGCGUAAAGCGCGCGUAGGCGGCCCGGUAAGUCCGCUGUGAAAGUCGGGGGCUCAACCCUCGGAUGCCGGUGGAUACUGUCGGGCUUGAGUGCGGAAGAGGCGAGUGGAAUUCCCGGUGUAGCGGUGAAAUGCGCAGAUAUCGGGAGGAACACCCGUAGCGAAGGCGGCACUCUGGGCCGGUACUGACGCUGAGGAGCGAAAGCGUGGGGAGCAAACAGG
Molecule: ribosomal RNA, 253 nt
Filed under: uncultured bacterium
Lineage: Bacteria
Description: partial 16S ribosomal RNA
Rfam family: Bacterial small subunit ribosomal RNA
Source: RNAcentral